AUUGAACGCUGGCGGCAUGCUUUACACAUGCAAGUCGAACGGUAACAGGCCGCAAGGUUCUGACGAGUGGCUAACGGGUGAGUAAUGCAUCGGAACGUGCCCAGUCGUGGGGGGUAACUACUCGAAAGAGUAGCUAAUACCGCAUACGAUCUAUGGAUGAAAGCGGGGGACCGUAAGGCCUCGCGCGAUUGGAGCGGCCGAUGUCAGAUUAGGUAUUUGGUGGGGUAAAGGCUCACCAAGCCAACGAACUGUAGCGGGUCUGAGAGGACAACCAGCCACACUGGGACUGGGCCACGGCCCAGAUUCCUACGGGAGGCAGCAGUGGGGAAUUUUGGACAAUGGGCGCAAGCCUGAUCCAGAAAUGCCGCGUGCAGGAAGAAGGCCUUCGGGUUGUAAACUGCUUUUGUACGGAACGAAACGGCUCUGGUUAAUACCCGGGGCUAAUGACGGUACCGUAAGAAUAAGCACCGGCUAACUACGUG
Molecule: ribosomal RNA, 482 nt
Filed under: uncultured bacterium
Lineage: Bacteria
Description: partial 16S ribosomal RNA
Rfam family: Bacterial small subunit ribosomal RNA
Source: RNAcentral